Molecule: ribosomal RNA, 468 nt
Filed under: uncultured bacterium
Lineage: Bacteria
Description: partial 16S ribosomal RNA
Rfam family: Bacterial small subunit ribosomal RNA
Source: RNAcentral
GACGAACGCUUUCUUCGUGCUUAACACAUGCAAGUCGAACGGAAAGGCCCUGCUUUUGUGGGGUGCUCGAGUGGCGAACGGGUGAGUAACACGUGAGUAACCUGCCCUUGACUUUGGGAUAACUUCAGGAAACUGGGGCUAAUACCGGAUAGGAGCUCCUGCUGCAUGGUGGGGGGUGGAAAGUUUCGGCGGUUGGGGAUGGACUCGCGGCUUAUCAGCUUGUUGGUGGGGUAGUGGCUUACCAAGGCUUUGACGGGUAGCCGGCCUGAGAGGGUGACCGGCCACAUUGGGACUGAGAUACGGCCCAGACUCCUACGGGAGGCAGCAGUGGGGAAUAUUGCACAAUGGGCGGAAGCCUGAUGCAGCAACGCCGCGUGCGGGAUGACGGCCUUCGGGUUGUAAACCGCUUUCGCCUGUGACGACGCGUGAGUGACGGUAAUGGGUAAAGAAGCACCGGCUAACUACGUG